GACGAACGCUGGCGGCGUGCUUAACACAUGCAAGUCGUACGGUAAGGCCCUUUCGGGGGUCCACGAGUGGCGGACGGGUGAGUAACACGUGAGUAACCUGCCCACAACUUUGGGAUAACGCUAGGAAACUGGUGCUACUAAUGGCUAUGUGCCACUGCCGCAUGGCGGGGGUUGGUAAGCUCCGGCGGUUGUGGAUGGACUCGCGGCCUAUCAGCUUGUUGGUGGGGUAGUGGCCUACCAAGGCGGCGACGGGUAGCCGGCCUGAGAGGGUGACCGGCCACAUUGGGACUGAGAUACGGCCCAGACUCCUACGGGAGGCAGCAGGGGGGAAUAUUGCACAAUGGGCGCCAGCCUGAGGCAACAACGCCGCGUGCGGGAGGACGGGCUUCGGGUUGUAAGCCGCUUUCAGCAGGGACGAAGCUUUGUGUGACGGUACCUGCAGAAGAAGCACCGGCUAGCUACGGG
Molecule: ribosomal RNA, 465 nt
Filed under: uncultured bacterium
Lineage: Bacteria
Description: partial 16S ribosomal RNA
Rfam family: Bacterial small subunit ribosomal RNA
Source: RNAcentral